GACGAACGCUGGCGGCGUGCCUAACACAUGCAAGUCGAGCGAAUGAAGUUCCUUCGGGAAUGGAUUUAGCGGCGGACGGGUGAGUAACACGUGGGCAACCUGCCUCAUAGAGGGGAAUAGCCUUCCGAAAGGGAGAUUAAUACCGCGUAAGAUUGUAGUAUCGCAUGAUACAGCAAUUAAAGGAGCAAUCCGCUAUGAGAUGGGCCCGCGGCGCAUUAGCUAGUUGGUGAGGUAACGGCUCACCAAGGCGACGAUGCGUAGCCGACCUGAGAGGGUGAUCGGCCACAUUGGGACUGAGACACGGCCCAGACUCCUACGGGAGGCAGCAGUGGGGAAUAUUGCACAAUGGGGGAAACCCUGAUGCAGCAACGCCGCGUGAGUGAUGACGGCCUUCGGGUUGUAAAGCUCUGUCUUCAGGGACGAUAAUGACGGUACCUGAGGAGGAAGCCACGGCUAACUACGUG
RNAcentral lists this ribosomal RNA (464 nucleotides) under uncultured bacterium. RNAcentral's name for it is "partial 16S ribosomal RNA". It matches the Rfam family "Bacterial small subunit ribosomal RNA", at positions 28 to 507 of the family's 1533-position model. The record is from RNAcentral.